RNAcentral lists this long non-coding RNA (677 nucleotides) under Brassica rapa (field mustard). RNAcentral describes it as "long non-coding RNA (BRAP_LNC002077)". Lineage: Eukaryota; Viridiplantae; Streptophyta; Magnoliopsida; Brassicales; Brassicaceae. The record is from RNAcentral.
UUUUCUUUCGCGUGCGUUUUACCAAGCCCGAUGUGAAUCAAACCUCCAAGAACGUCCACACAAGCGCCUAGCUUCAACGUGUCGAUUGGGCAAGUCUCUGGCUUAGGUGGAGUUGGUGUUGGCGGUGUUACGACCGGUGGGCUUGGUGUUGGUGGCGUAACAACAGGUGGCGGUGGGCACGGUGAUGGCGGUGGCGGUGGGCACGGUGAUGGCGGCGUUACGACGGGUGGAGGCGUAUGAGUGGGUGGUUUAGGGGUGGACGGAGGUGGUUUAACAGUGGGCGGUUUCGUGGGUGGUUUCGGGGUAGACGGAGGAGGUUUAACGGUGGGCGGUUUCGUGGGUGGUUUCGGGGUGGACGGAGGUGGUUUAACGGUGGGCGGUUUCGUGGGUGGUUUCGGGGUGGGAUGAGGUUUGGUAGGGGGUUUCGGAUGUGGGUGUGGUUUGACAGUGGGCGGUUUGGUAGGGGGUUUAGGGUGUGGGUGUGGUUUGACGGUGGGUGGUUUGGGAGGUUUUACUGCCGGUGGUUUAGGCGGUUUGCUAGGAUGUUUAGGCGGUUUGUGGGGGUGAGGUGAUGGUUUAGGAGGGCUACAGUCGCAAGCGAAGGAGACGGCAAGAAAGCCAAGGAAGAGGAAGAUAAGAAAAGAGAGGUUUUGUGUACGAGACCCCAUUUUUCUAGA